UAAGACAGAGGAGCCAAGCGUUGUCCGGAUUGACUGGGCGUAAAGCGCACGCAGGCGGUCGUGCACGUGGGGUGUGAAAACUGGCGGCUCAACUGCCAGAGGCCACCUCAUACGGCGCGACUCGAGCCCGUGAGAGGUCCAUGGAAUUGCCGGUGUAGUGGUGAAAUGCGUAGAGAUCGGCAGGAACACCCAGGGAGAAAUCAGUGGACUGGCACGGUGCUGACGCUCAGGUGCGAAAGCGUGGGGAGCGAACCGGAUUAGAUACCCGGGUAGUCCACGCCGUAAACGAUGAAUACUCGGCAUCUGGUGGGCGAUUUUCGUCCGCCGGGUGCCCCAGCUAACGCGAUAAGUAUUCCGCCUGGGAACUACGAGCGCAAGCUUA
RNAcentral lists this ribosomal RNA (382 nucleotides) under uncultured bacterium. RNAcentral describes it as "bacterial SSU rRNA". It matches the Rfam family "Bacterial small subunit ribosomal RNA", at positions 521 to 896 of the family's 1533-position model. The record is from RNAcentral.